Molecule: ribosomal RNA, 497 nt
Filed under: uncultured bacterium
Lineage: Bacteria
Description: partial 16S ribosomal RNA
Rfam family: Bacterial small subunit ribosomal RNA
Source: RNAcentral
GAUGAACGCUGGCGGCGUGCCUAAUACAUGCAAGUCGAGCGAACAGACGAUGAGCUUGCUCCUCUGACGUUAGCGGCGGACGGGUGAGUAACACGUGGAUAACCUACCUAUAUGACUGGGAUAACUUCGGGAAACCGGCGCUAAUACCGGAUAAUAUAUUGAACCGCAUGGUGCAAUAGUGAAAUACGGUUUUGCUGUCACUUAUAGCUGGAUCCGCGCCGCAUUAGCUAGUUGGUAAGGUAACGGCUUACCAAGGCAACGAUGCGUAGCCGACCUGAGAGGGUGAUAGGCCACACUGGAACUGAGACACGGUCCAGACUCCUACGAGAGGCAGCAGUAGGGAAUGUUCCGCAAUGGGCGCAAGCCUGACGGAGCAGCCCCGCGUGAGUGAUGAAGGUCUUCGGAUCGUAAAACUCUGUUAUUGGGGAAGAACAACUGUGUAAGUAACUAUGCACGUCUUGACGGUACCUAAUCAGAAAGCAACGGCUAACUACGUG